GACUGCGCGGAGACCGCUGGACUCUGGUCGCGGCCUUAGUCCGCUGAUCCUCGCUUGGGUGCCCGCCCUUAGCGGCCCGGCGUUGAAUUCCGGGAAGUGGGAGCUUCAGGCUCGCUCCGUGCGGAAAUAGAAAAAAAAUUCUAAAAUUCAUGUGGAACCACAAAAGACCACGAAUAGCCAAAUCAAUCUUGGAAAAGAACAAAGCUGGAAGCAUCCCACAUCCUGACUUCAAAAUAUAUUACAAAACUACAGUAAUCAAAACAUAUAUACAAAAACACAUAUACAAAAAUACAUAUACAAAAAUCAGCUCAAAAUAAAUUAAAGAUUUAAAUGUAAGGCCUGAAACAGUAAAACUCCUAGAAGAAAACUUAGGGGAAAACCUUCAUGACAUUGAUCGGCAAUGAUUUUGUAUAUACAACACCAAAAAGACAGGCAGCAAAAACAAAAAUAAGUGGGACUACAUCAAGGUACAUAAACCUGCACAGCAAGGGAAACAAUCAACAAAGUGAAAAAGCAACUUACACAAUAGAAGAAGAUAUUUGCAAACCACAUUCUGAUAAAGGUUAAUCUCCAAAAUAUACAGUGAUUUCCUACAACUCAAUAGUAAGAAAAUGGAUAACCAGAUUUUAAAAAAUGGUCUAAGGACUUGAACAGACAUUUUUCCAAAGAAGACAUGCAAAUGGCCAACAGAUAUGUGAAAAACAAAUGCUCAAUGUCAUAAAUCAGGGACAUGCAAUUUAAAACGACAAUGAGAUACCACCUCACACCUGUCAGGAUGGUUACUAUCAAAGGAAACAAAAAACAAGGGUUGGCAAGAAUGUGGAGAAACUGGAACCCUUGUUAGUGGGAAUGUAAAAUGGUGCAGUUGCAGUGGAAAACAAUAGAGAGCUUCCUCAAAAAAUUUAAAAAAUGGGACUACUGUGUGAUUCUGCAAUCCCACUUCUGACUGUAUAUCCAAAACAAUUGAAAUCAGGAUCUCAAAGAUGUUAGCACUCCUGUGUUCAUUACAGCACUAUUUCACCAUAACCAAGAUGAGGCUAUAACCUAAAUGUUCAUGGAAAGAUGAAUGGAUUUUUAAAGUGUGGUACAUACAAAUGGUAAAAUAUUAUUCAGCCCUAAAAAAGAAGGGAAUUCUACAAUAUGCAACCACUGGAUGAACCUUGAGGACAUUACAUUAAGCAAAGCAAGCCAGUCACAGAAGGACAAAUACUGCAUGAUUUCACUUAUUUGAGCAGAGAAACUUAAUACUCCCAAUUCAAAACGCAGAUGGCACCACGCGAGGUCAGAGAAAGAGGCAAGAAGUUUUAGUCAACCUGUCUUUGAUUAUUGGCUUGCCAUAUGCAGUCUACGUGUACUUGAUCAUCGCUUAACUUUUUAGCCUGUUUCUCAUGUAUGAAACGAGAAUAAUGAUAUCCAGCUCAUGGGUUGUUUAAAGGAAUACAUGACAUGAUAAGGUGAAGAGGAACAGAUGCUGCCAUGAAAGGGGUUUCCUAGAAAGUGGUGAAGAGACCAUAGCCUAAUGCAAGUAGAGAAUUGGGACCAGGAAAAAUAAAGCCAUGAAAUAAUGAGUCUGCUGUAUUAGAGUAAUGUGGAACAAGUGACAAUUUCAUUUUUUAAGAAUGCUGUUUGUACAAACAACCCCAUCAAAAAGUGGGCAAAGGACAUGAACAGACACUUCUCAAAAGAAGACAUUUAUGCAGCCAAAAAACACAUGAAAAAAUGCUCACCAUCACUGGCCAUCAGAGAAAUGCAAAUCAAAACCACAAUGAGAUACCAUCUCACACCAGUUAGAAUGGCGAUCAUUAAAAAGUCAGGAAACAACAGGUGCCGGAGAGGGUGUGGAGAAAUAGGAACACUUUUACACUGUUGGUGGGACUGUAAACUAGUUCAACCAUUGUGGAAGUCAGUGUGGCGAUUCCUCAGGGAUCUAGAACUAGAUAUACCAUUUGACCCUGCCAUCCCAUUACUGGGUAUAUACCCAAAGGACUAUAAAUUAUGCUACUAUAAAGACACAUGCACACAUAUGUUUAUUGAGGCAUUAUUCACAAAAGCAAAGACUUGGAACCAACCCAAAUGUCCAUCAAUGAUAGACUGGAUUAAGAAAAUGUGGCACAUAUACACCAUGGAAUACUAUGCAGCCAUAAAAAAUGAUG
Long non-coding RNA from Homo sapiens (human), 2153 nucleotides. Ensembl annotates it as CHD1 divergent transcript. Its record names the gene CHD1-DT. The record is from Ensembl. Lineage: Eukaryota; Metazoa; Chordata; Mammalia; Primates; Hominidae.